Molecule: long non-coding RNA, 374 nt
Organism: Musca domestica (house fly)
Lineage: Eukaryota; Metazoa; Arthropoda; Insecta; Diptera; Muscidae
Exons: 2
Source: RefSeq, a predicted model, not a curated record
AAACGUGUAGUAAUUAAAAAAAAAAAACAAUAACAAAAAAAAAAUUAUUUAAAUUCUAAACACAUUUUAUUUGUUUGACACACAAACAGCCAUGUACGUGGCUGACGUCUGUUUGGCACACCUCCACUCGCACGAACUUAAUUCUGGUACACAAUUAGGAUAGAAAGGUUGCCCGGGAAAUGGUUGGCCUUUGGAAAACACAUAAGGAUUUGGAUUUACCACCUUGGCUAUGUCGGUAUACGAACGACCUCGUGAACUUCUUCCCCUGGAGUUAUAACCAGAAUAUCGGGGAAAUUCGGGCAUUGCCAGAGACAGGUAGACAUUUAGCAGGAAGGCCACAAAUAAGACAAAUAUAAUUUUCAUUUCUGCUGUUA